CCCUUAGAUGUUCUGGGCCGCACGCGCGCUACACUGAUGCAUUCAACGAGUCUAAAACCUGCUCUGAUAGGGGUGGGUAAUCUUUUGAAUGUGCAUCGUGAUUGGGAUAGAUGAUUGCAAUUUUUCAUCUUCAACGAGGAAUGCCUAGUAAGCGCAAGUCAUCAGCUUGCAUUGAUUACGUCCCUGCCCUUUGUACACACCGCCCGUCGCUCCUACCGAUUGAAUGAUCCGAUGAAUAUCAUGGAUUGAGGAUGCAAGCAGGUUCGCCUGUCUUCAUCUUCGAGAAGUGAAGUAAAUCUUAUCAUUUAGAGGAAGGAGAAGUCGUAACA
RNAcentral lists this ribosomal RNA (329 nucleotides) under uncultured eukaryote. RNAcentral describes it as "partial 18S ribosomal RNA". It matches the Rfam family "Eukaryotic small subunit ribosomal RNA", at positions 1470 to 1796 of the family's 1831-position model. The record is from RNAcentral.